Molecule: unclassified non-coding RNA, 361 nt
Filed under: fungal sp.
Lineage: Eukaryota; Fungi
Description: partial internal transcribed spacer region
Rfam family: Eukaryotic small subunit ribosomal RNA (bases 1-46)
Source: RNAcentral
AAGUCGUAACAAGGUUUCCGUAGGUGAACCUGCGGAAGGAUCAUUAACACGUAUCCAACGUUAAACCCCCCGUGAACCUUCAGUGCGCUCGCACUUUCUUAGAAAAGGUAGCAAUGGGACUUCUGCGUAGACUGUGCUUGAGCGUGAGGCAAGUGGCCUGGCAUUCCUCUGCUUGUUGGUGUCUGAAAGUGUCACCAGCUCUGUACGAAUGGCGCAGUCACGAUCGCUAGAGGCCGACACGGCCGGCGACCGGGUCACUGGGCGCGAGCCCCCCUCGUCACCUUUGCAUGAAAACGGGCCUGCGCUUAAUUGUGCGGCCACCAAACUCGAACAACUGUUAACAAUGGAUAUCUUGGUUCUC